This 73-nucleotide transfer RNA is filed under the name Collybia nuda. Its description in RNAcentral is "Lepista nuda tRNA-Met". Lineage: Eukaryota; Fungi; Basidiomycota; Agaricomycetes; Agaricales; Clitocybaceae. The record is from RNAcentral.
AGCAGCAUGGCGCAGUUGGAAGCGCGCGGGGCCCAUAACCCCGAGGUCACUUGAUCGAAACAAGUUGCUGCUA